RNAcentral lists this ribosomal RNA (253 nucleotides) under uncultured bacterium. RNAcentral's name for it is "partial 16S ribosomal RNA". It matches the Rfam family "Bacterial small subunit ribosomal RNA", at positions 524 to 776 of the family's 1533-position model. The record is from RNAcentral.
UACGUAGGGUGCAAGCGUUGUCCGGAAUUAUUGGGCGUAAAGAGCUCGUAGGCGGUUUGUCGCGUCGGCUGUGAAAACCCGGGGCUCAACCCCCGGGCCUGCAGUCGAUACGGGCAAACUAGAGUGUGGUAGGGGAGACUGGAAUUCCUGGUGUAGCGGUGAAAUGCGCAGAUAUCAGGAGGAACACCGGUGGCGAAGGCGGGUCUCUGGGCCAUAACUGACGCUGAGGAGCGAAAGCGUGGGAGCGAACAGG